UACGUAGGGUGCAAGCGUUAAUCGGAAUUACUGGGCGUAAAGCGUGCGCAGGCGGUUUUGUAAGUCUGUCGUGAAAUCCCCGGGCUCAACCUGGGAAUUGCGAUGGAGACUGCAAGGCUAGAAUCUGGCAGAGGGGGGUAGAAUUCCAGGUGUAGCAGUGAAAUGCGUAGAGAUCUGGAGGAACACCGAUGGCGAAGGCAGCCCCCUGGGCUAACACUGACGCUCAUGCACGAAAGCGUGGGGAGCAAACAGG
Molecule: ribosomal RNA, 253 nt
Filed under: uncultured bacterium
Lineage: Bacteria
Description: partial 16S ribosomal RNA
Rfam family: Bacterial small subunit ribosomal RNA
Source: RNAcentral